This 1672-nucleotide long non-coding RNA is filed under the name Rattus norvegicus (Norway rat). RNAcentral describes it as "long non-coding RNA NONRATT012469". Lineage: Eukaryota; Metazoa; Chordata; Mammalia; Rodentia; Muridae. The record is from RNAcentral.
CCGCCUUGUGGGUUCUGGGAAUCGACCCCUGGCCCUCUGAAAAUAAGCAUUUUUCUGAAAAUAAGCAUUUUUCUGAAAAUAAGCAUUUUUCUGAAAAUGAGCCUUCUUGACAGCCCGACAUUUCUAAUUUCUUAAUAAUUGUGCCAUCUUUUUUUUUUAAUUAAAAAUACAAAAUGUUCUGCUGGUUAUUUUGUAGAAAAUGAAUACACCCACUGAGAUGUGAAUUCCUUUCAAAUAUACUUUAAACUGUGUCAACCAGUGGGUUCCCGGACUGUGUGGCAAGUUUGUACUUUUUGUGUGUGCAUGUUUGAUUCACUGGGUAGAUCGCCGGCCCAUACAUUUGUUACAAUAAGUGUAAUCAAUUUCUGUAAUUAAAACAAGGUGGGGGGCUAUUGGUGGUGAAGUAUAUACUUAGCACACUGGAGACCAUGGAAUUAAUCAUCACCAAAGAGUGAACAUUGGGAUUUUAUAUUGUUUUUAAACACGAUCUCCUGUUGGCCUUAAAUUCUGGGCUCAAAUGAUCCUUAGUUCGCCAAAUAUCUAUAACUAUAGGCAUGUUGUCACCAAGUCAACUAAGUAGAUUUAUUAUUUUUAGGGGUUUUUGAGUCUGGGUCUCAUGUAGUUGGGGCUCACCUUGGAACUCUCCUGCCCCUACUUCCUGUACUGGAACUACCACACCUAACUAAGGAGUGUUUGCUGGUGAAUCUCUGUUGCUGUUCCUUAAGAUAUGUGACAGAUGGGAGUUUUGAAGCUGUCUAUACAGGCAUGCAAGGACAAGGGCUAAUGACCCACAACCUGUGAGUCAGAUCUGACCUGCCACCUGAUUUUGUCUAACUUGGGACUUUAGUUUGUUUUUUUUUUAAUCUAUUCAAAUGGAUUGGGGUGGGUGACAACUGUUAUUUCAUGAAACCUGUGGAUGACCACAGCCACAGUGCCCUGUGCCUGAGUGGCUGUGGUGUGACAGUAUGGCCUGCAGAGCCUAAAGGAUUAACUGCAAAGCUGCUAAAAAAAAGGUUUACAGCCCCUCACCUAGAUCAAGCCGGAGACACUGGCCUUCUCCCGGCCCCCACCCCACCCCACCCCCGUGUUUAUGAGUCAUCAUUUUAUCCUAUUAAACACCCUCUGUGAAAACUGCACAUUUUCUGGGCAUUGGUUAGCAGGACUUCUUGGCAGUAAUUAUCAACUCAAAUGACAUAAGCCUGAUAGUCAUGUCUCCCAGGUAGUGGGGCUCACUGAAGUACCAGAGUUCGUCUGUUUUUCCAUCUGAGGGACCUUGAAGCAGGGCCUCGUAGCAAGUGAUUCUUCUUUCUCUAUCUUUGUUCUUCAGGACUGGGGGGGAGGGGUGUAGGAGAAUAAAGAUCAGACGCACAAUGUAAGCAAGCCUAUUCUGUGAUGUAACAACCUUCAAAUGGGGUCCCAUGGGUUGUCCUCUCUGAAGGCCAGAUCCCAGUGUUUAUUACCCCUGUGCACCUAUUUUAACACACAACUUUACUUGAAUACUUAAUACUGUGACUGUUCUAUGCCAUACUUUGUGAGACAAAUUUCAUGAGUUGUUGAGAAAUAUAUUUUGCUCUAUCAACAUGUAUUGCUUCGUUUUUCUAGUGUUUGACAUUGUGUGAUCAACAGAGUUGAAUCUCAAUAAAUGUUUAACAGGAUUUCUUAUUCCUGUGUG